This 72-nucleotide ribosomal RNA is filed under the name Teratosphaeria destructans. Its description in RNAcentral is "partial 5.8S ribosomal RNA". It matches the Rfam family "5.8S ribosomal RNA", at positions 84 to 154 of the family's 154-position model. Rfam says of the family: 5.8S ribosomal RNA (5.8S rRNA) is a component of the large subunit of the eukaryotic ribosome. It is transcribed by RNA polymerase I as part of the 45S precursor that also contains 18S and 28S rRNA. Lineage: Eukaryota; Fungi; Ascomycota; Dothideomycetes; Mycosphaerellales; Teratosphaeriaceae. The record is from RNAcentral.
GUGAAUCAUCGAAUCUUUGAACGCACAUUGCGCCCCCUGGUAUUCCGGGGGGCAUGCCUGUUCGAGCGUCAU